GACGAACGCUGGCGGCGUGCUUAACACAUGCAAGUCGAGCGGUAAGGCCCUUUCGGGGGUACACGAGCGGCGAACGGGUGAGUAACACGUGGGUGACCUGCCCUCAGCUCUGGGAUAAGCCUGGGAAACUGGGUCUAAUACUGGAUAUGACUCCACGGUGCAUGUCGGUGGGGUGGAAAGCCUUGUGCGGCUGAGGAUCGGGCCCGCGGCCUAUCAGCUUGUUGGUGGGGUGAGGCCUACCAAGGCGACGACGGGUAGCCGGCCUGAGAGGGCGACCGGCCACACUGGGACUGAGACACGGCCCAGACUCCUACGGGAGGCAGCAGGUGGGGAAUCUUGCGCAAGUGGGCGAAAGCCUGACGCAGCGACG
Molecule: ribosomal RNA, 370 nt
Filed under: uncultured bacterium
Lineage: Bacteria
Description: bacterial SSU rRNA
Rfam family: Bacterial small subunit ribosomal RNA
Source: RNAcentral